GACGAACGCUGGCCGCGUGCUUAGCACAUGCAAGUCGAACGGAAAGGCCCUGCUUUUGUGGGGUGCUCGAGUGGCGAACGGGUGAGUAACACGUGAGUAACCUGCCCUUGACUUUGGGAUAACGUCAGGAAACUGGGGCUAAUACCGGAUAGGAGCUCCUGCUGCAUGGUGGGGGUUGGAAAGUUUCGGCGGUUGGGGAUGGACUCGCGGCUUAUCAGCUUGUUGGUGGGGUAGUGGCUUACCAAGGCUUUGACGGGUAGCCGGCCUGAGAGGGUGACCGGCCACAUUGGGACUGAGAUACGGCCCAGACUCCUACGGGAGGCAGCAGUGGGGAAUAUUGCACAAUGGGCGGAAGCCUGAUGCAGCAACGCCGCGUGCGGGAUGACGGCCUUCGGGUUGUAAACCGCUUUCGCCUGUGACGAAGCGUGAGUGACGGUAAUGGGUAAAGAAGCACCGGCUAGCUACGUG
RNAcentral lists this ribosomal RNA (468 nucleotides) under uncultured bacterium. Its description in RNAcentral is "partial 16S ribosomal RNA". It matches the Rfam family "Bacterial small subunit ribosomal RNA", at positions 28 to 507 of the family's 1533-position model. The record is from RNAcentral.